This 446-nucleotide ribosomal RNA is filed under the name uncultured bacterium. RNAcentral's name for it is "partial 16S ribosomal RNA". It matches the Rfam family "Bacterial small subunit ribosomal RNA", at positions 338 to 795 of the family's 1533-position model. The record is from RNAcentral.
CCUACGGGAGGCUGCAGUCGAGAAUCAUUCACAAUGGGGGAAACCCUGAUGGUGCGACGCCGCGUGGGGGAAUGAAGGUCUUCGGAUUGUAAACCCCUGUCAUGUGGGAGCAAAUUAAAAAGAUAGUACCACAAGAGGAAGAGACGGCUAACCCUGUGCCAGCAGCCGCGGUAAUACAGAGGUCUCAAGCGUUGUUCGGAAUCACUGGGCGUAAAGCGUGCGUAGGCUGUUUCGUAAGUCGUGUGUGAAAGGGGCGGGCUCAACCCGCGGACGGCACAUGAUACUGCGAGACUAGAGUAAUGGAGGGGGAACCGGAAUUCUCGGUGUAGCAGUGAAAUGCGUAGAUAUCGAGAGGAACACUCGUGGCGAAGGCGGGUUCCUGGACAUUAACUGACGCUGAGGCACGAAGGCCAGGGGAGCGAAAGGGAUUAGAUACCCGGGUAGUC